GCCUGGGUGGCUCAGUUGGUUAAGCAUCCGACUUCGGCUCGGGUCAUGGGGGUCAUGAUCUCGUGGUUCGCGGGUUCGAGCCCCGCAUCAGGUU
This 94-nucleotide transfer RNA is filed under the name Felis catus (domestic cat). It matches the Rfam family "tRNA". From Rfam's summary of the family: Transfer RNA (tRNA) molecules are approximately 80 nucleotides in length. Their secondary structure includes four short double-helical elements and three loops (D, anti-codon, and T loops). The record is from Rfam by way of RNAcentral. Lineage: Eukaryota; Metazoa; Chordata; Mammalia; Carnivora; Felidae.